This 298-nucleotide long non-coding RNA is filed under the name Medicago truncatula (barrel medic). RNAcentral describes it as "long non-coding RNA (MTRU_LNC003567)". Lineage: Eukaryota; Viridiplantae; Streptophyta; Magnoliopsida; Fabales; Fabaceae. The record is from RNAcentral.
GAUUUUCAAGUUUCAAAUUGAAGGCCAUAAGAAAAUAAAAUCAUGAAUUUGAAGCUUGAAAAUUCAUAUGCAAAUUGACCAAAAGGUCAAAAUUAAAAUUUUAAAAAAAAAUAAAAGACCAAAUUGUUACCGAAAAUUAAGUUAAUGGACUUAAAAAUACAAUACACUAAUAAUAUCUUUGUGACGCAGAACAGAAGCAAGGAUUAACAAACACUAAACCUAAAAGAUAAACAGACAAGUUGCAAACGACAAACCUGUCAAAUAAGGGUUUCAGGAUUCCACCAGAAUUAAGAAAAGU